UCCAUAAUUUUGAAGAUAUAGAUUUCCCAUUUUGCAAGCAAUUCUGUGAAUCAGUUAUUUUUGACUGUAUUAACCCAGCAACACUAAUGCAUAGUAGGGAUAUAUUUUGCUUCAUUUUGUUUUUGUGUAUCUAGGGAGGUGGAGAAGAAGAAAAAACUGUGUGAGAGACUAAAGGAACAACUGAUGAAGCUAACGCUUCAAGCCACAGACAAGGAAGAAAAUAAACAGAUUGCCUUGGGCACAUCCAAGUUGAACUACCUUGACCCUAGGAUUACAGUAGCCUGGUGCAAGAAAUAUGGAGUGCCCAUAGAGAAGAUUUAUAACAAAACACAGAGGGAUAAGUUUGCCUGGGCCAUCGAUAUGACAGAAGAAGACUUUGAAUUCUAAUUUCAUUAUGCAUUUAUUCAGUUGACCAAAUUCUUUUUUACUUUCUGGUGCUGCUGUCUGAAUUUAGACUAUGAUAAACGUAUUUCUUGUUUUCCACUUUGUACAGGAUACUCAUUUUGUUAACUAACUUAUUGGAAGGCUGACAAGCCACUGUCCCUGUAAGUGACAAGACAGCUCAUAGCUAAAUGACUAAGUAAUGCAUUUCAUGUAUACAUAAAUAUCUUCUAAGUAGCACUUUCAUUUGCACUUUAUUUUUGUGAUAAUUGAUUUGCCCUGUGACUGAUAUUUGCCGGCCGAUUAUUGCACACAACUUUUUUUGUUUUCAAAAAUACCCUUUACCGAUCCAAUAUAACCAUGCAGUUUUUGCAUCAGAUAACCUGUUUCUCUUUCCUUAUUAUUGGUAAAGCACUAUAAAAGCCUGUUUGACCCUUUGCCUGUUGGUACUGGUUUCCAUUACUGUUUGUUUUUUGAUUUCCAUGCGUUUCCUUGACCAUAAACUGAGAACAUUUAAAUUAUAAGAAUAUAUUUACUUCUUGAAACAAUACAUGUUCCAUAAAUCAUGUUCCAUACUAGAAUGUAGUAUGGGACAUGUUAAUUAUCUUUUUGUCUAUUAUGAAGACUGGUUUUCAGUUCUGUUUUUGUGAAAUGCAACGACAGAUGUGAAUAUUUCUUGUGCUCAUUACUUAAAAACCCAGCAAUAUCUUGUAGUACAAGCAGAAGAUCAAGCCUCAUUCACCACUCAUAAUAUAUUUUCAACUUUAAUUGAAGGCAAACUAAGUAUAACUUCUGUAGCAAUAAAAUACAAACAUGCUGUCGUUCUAGGUAAGCCUGGAAAACAGUAAAAAAAAAAUUGUUGCAAGAUUUUUUUGUUAAAUGUGCAUUUACAACAAAAAGUUUGUAAGAUAAACGUAAUUUUUUUUUUGCUUUUCUUACCAUGAAAGCGCAUUUGAUUAAAACUAGUGUUUUUGUGUAA
Long non-coding RNA from Bombina bombina (fire-bellied toad), 1360 nucleotides. RefSeq lists it as uncharacterized. The record is from RefSeq and is a predicted model, not a curated record. Lineage: Eukaryota; Metazoa; Chordata; Amphibia; Anura; Bombinatoridae. The transcript has 2 exons.